Chiloscyllium plagiosum (whitespotted bambooshark) is the source of this 4412-nucleotide non-coding RNA. NCBI's taxonomy places the organism in Eukaryota, Metazoa, Chordata, Chondrichthyes, Orectolobiformes, Hemiscylliidae. The record is from RefSeq and is a predicted model, not a curated record.
GUGUCAGACUACUCUCCUACGAACCUGACCUUGAGAAUUUUUUAAAACAAUUGACUUGGAUCAUGUUCUACAUUUGUGUACAUGUCACCUCGCACUGUUCCUCCACUCUGAAUCCCAACACCCUGUGGAAUUAGUUUAAACCCUCACCAACUACACUAGCAGCAAAACCACCCCCAGAAAAGAUGUUGUUUCCAUUCCAGCUCAGAUACAACAGUAGGAUAGGUCUUACCUUCUCAGAUGGUCCUAGGUGUCCAGGAAUCUAAAACCCUCCCUCAUACUCCAUCUCUUCAACCACACAUUCAUCUAUUCUGUCUAUCUAUUCCUGUACUCACAGCACAUAACACCGAAAGUAAUCGAGAGAUUACAACCUUUGAAGUCCUGCAUUUUAAUCUGCUACCAAGCUCCCUAUAUUCUUGUUUCAGGACCCCAUCCCUCUUUGUACCUUUGUUACUGGAUCAAGUGAACCACAAUUUCUCUGUUUGCCUUCCCUCUUCAGAAUGUCCUGCUACCUUUUAAUGACUUUCUUGACACUAGCCCAGUGAGGCAACACAUGUCUAUGGCUGCAGAAAAGCCUGUCAAUACCCCGCCAGAUUGUGUCAACCACCUACCACUAAUGUUCUCCCUUUCUUUCCACUACCCCCUUAUGCGGCUAGUCUAUGACUGCACUCCCCAAAGAAGCUGCGCCUCUCACAGGUUUUCAACACACAAAAUCUGUGCUUGUGCGGGUUGUACUCUGGGCUUUCUUAACUACUUGCCUGCCUCACUUCUGACCAGAAGAGACACAUUCCUUAUCCAGCUGCACUUACUUGAGCUGCAGGAUGACUACAUUGAAAGAAAAAUAUGCUAUCCAUGUAAUUCUCAGCCUCAAAGAUAUAUAAUAUGCCUCCAGUUGAUGCUCCGGCACUGAAGCUGACCAAACUGGUGGCAUUUACUUCAUAUCGUUGUCAUCCAGACUUCCACGAGAGUCUAAAAUGUCCCACAUCACCACAGGCCAUGCAACACAAGGACUGAGUUCCCCUGCCAUACCUGGUCUUAGUCUUAAACUAACUUCCCUUAUGUUAAAUUUACUCUCCUUUCUUUAUUGUACUUUGGCUUCCUUAUGUUAGUUUAUUAAAUUGGCCUUGACUCUCACUUAUUUCUAAUGUUUCUAUGUUACCCUGUUCUUUCAAAAACAGUAGAACACUUCGCUAAUCUAUAAGACAGUCCUUAACAACAUCUUAUCAGCCAAUGAACUUAUAGAUUUUCUGCAAUGUGACUUUUUUUAAAAUCAAAUUCAGUAGUGGUUGGUUCCUAGCAGCUUAAUGACGUUCUUUUGCUCCUCCAAGGUAAUUUGUUGUUUCUUAAAGUAUACACUUGUUUAAUCACAAACCACAGAUCCACCUUUCCAACCUGUUACCUGACGGUUUGUUUGUUUGUUUGUAUUUUCUUUCCCAUUCAGGUGUUGUCUCGAAGCUCCAGCUGUUAAACCUGGGCUUCCUUUCUUGCUAUUGUAUCGCUGAACUGCUACUCACCCUUCCCUGAUUCGAGGCCUCAAUAUUUUCUCUGCUGCCUCCUGUCUUAUUGCUAUAUUGUAACUGGAGUGCUGGGCUCCUUUUGCUGGUAGAUGAAGGUGAUGAUGCCUUUCCUCAUGGAUUCAAACUGCCUGCCAGAAACUUACUCUGGUAUAUGUGCAGCAAGUCCUGCCAAUCACGUCCCACAGAGAUGAAUACAACUUGGUUGUAAGCUAUCACUGAGGAGUUUUACUCUUCUGAGAACUUAGAUUAGAUUACUUAGUAAAGAAACAGACCCUUCGUGCUGGCCACAGUCAUUUCAUCUGAAGUUAGAGGUUUAUUCAGGCUCUCCUUUACAGUCAUCAAAGAUCUUUGUGAUAGAGGACAGGAAUGACUUGGAUACCAUGCUAUAUGUAGACUUCUGGUCAUACUGUCUGGCCAUGAAAACAUUGGUCUGUUCUCAAAAUAUCAGUGUUACAUCCAGACUAUGGAUAAAGUUCCCCAAGUUAUUAUAGUUCCAGAUUGAAUACCCACAUUUUCAAGCUCCUGGAUGAGGUGGAAUGAACUGGCUGUCCUCCUUUAUUCACACAUUUUCUUGGUUGGUCACAACAAGAUGAAUUUGCAAAGGAACCUCUCCCUUCUGCAUACCUUUCUCGCAGACCAAAUAUAGAACACCUCGGUUAUCCAAGCAUCAAUUAUCCGAAUUUCAGAUUAUCUGAGAAAGAGCUAAAGGUCCCGAAGUUUGAGAUCGGAAACUGAAAUUUGUCACUACUUGCAGAAACUCUCUUUCCAAGAUAGACUGCCCACCAGUGAAGUCAGCAACUUCUCUCUCGCUCUGCCUCUGUCAUUUAUUUUCUUUCUGCUUCUUGUUUUAAAAUAUUAAAUGAUGAGAUAAAUCUAACAGUAGAGGAUAUGGUUUUCUCACUCCUUAGAGGGGUUUCCAGUAGGAGUGGAACUGUUGUGCAAGGAUCCAGAGGUAGACGGCAUUGCAUCCCUGGGACUGUUUGUGCAAGGCUGCAGUUUCUAACCAACAGCAGUGAAGGAAGUGCAGGGCUGAUGGUUGCUAAGGGGAGAAACCCGAAGGAGAAGAAGCAAAGGAGAGGAGAGGAAAGGAAUAGAUGGCCUCGAAAUCCGGCUGAAAAGGUUAGAGACAGCAGUUUGGUGUACACCCGAGGGUGGCCUUCCCACUGGCUGAUUUAUCUCUGUCUAGUGCAAGUGUUUAAAUGUUAAAUUAAUUCAACCUCCUGUUCAUUUUAACUUGAUUUGAGAUAUUUACCUGAUUCUGAUCAGUUAUCUGAACAAUCAGUUAUCCGAACAAAAUACUACCCACCUGUCUCAUUUGGAUAAUUGAAGUUGUUCUGUCAAUUUAUGUUUUAAAAGGAGCCAAUUUAAUGGCUUGUUUGAGUUAAAAAAGAGUAACUAUUAAUUACUAAACAGGAGUAGAAAUAGUAAGAUAAGGCGCACACACAGAUUUGGAAUGAAACAUGAGUCCCAAAAAAAAGAUACAAGUUAAAAAGAUAAAUGAGUCAGUCUCUCAGUCAUUUGUGAGUAGUAGAUAAUCAACAUUGCACCCGGGACAGUGUAUGUUGCUGAUUGCAUUGACGAUGGUAGUUGGAUAGGCUCCUUUGAGAUACUGAGUUCUACAGCUAAUUUGAAAUUCCUUCAUCCUGGUUCCAUUCAACUGUGGCUAGCUAGCAGCAUUCAAAUUUGAUAUGUUCAUUAGUGAUCUGGGGUUAUGAUCCAUUCUUGUGACAAUCAGACUAUGAUGACUUUACCAAGGUGUCUUCUUCCUUCAGGCUGCUGAUCACAUGGCUCUCUCUACGUACCUUCUAGAAGAAGAAACACAAGUAUGUCUCAUCCUGCAUCAUAGAGCAGACUCUAGUGUGAAAGAUUAUCUUCAAGGCCUCUGAAGCCAAGAGUGAGGCUUUUUGGUUCUUCACUUCUUGGAAGCCUACUGAACUUAAAAACUGCAUUGUUACUUGCUUUAAAAUCAUUUAAGCUUGUGGAGCACUGAUACCUGAAGAUUAGCCAAGAGGUAGUGAUACCUAACAUUUGAAAGAAGAAAAUGUAGAAGCAUUGGCCCCAAUUCAAAAGAUAUUAAGCCUGAACAACUCCAAUUAGGACUGGCAUGUCCUAAUUUAGCAGGCUAUUCAACCCGUGGAUAUUCAUCUAGGAGAAAGUGAGGAUUGCAGAUGCUGGAGAUCAGAGUCGAAAGUGUGGUGCUGAAAAAGCACAGCUGGUCAGGAUAUUCAUGCUCGGCAUAUGUACCACAGCAUCAACAUCACCAUAGAGAAUGAAAGGGAAUGACAUUUUCUGCUGUGUGGAAACAAAGCAACACCCAAAAGAUACCAUACACAUGGAUCAUGACUGGAAUGUCUUUUGUUCAAAUGGUACCAAUUCCAUUGUUUUUGGGAUAACUCGUAAACAUAUCCGGAUGCCUUGCAAAAGCGUCGUCUCGCUUUCCUGUGUCUUCUGGAUUGCCUUUGCUAUCGAGGAUCUUAAGGUGACAUGAAGCGAUAUCAUCCCCUCUCCUCAUCAUACAUAUACAAACUCGAGUUCUGUUUUUUCAGUGCUCAGUUUCGCAGAUUUCAGUAUUUUAAUUUCAACUCAUACUGAAUGCCAUUAAAUAUUUCUCUGCAUGUUACUUAAUUAUAUUAUUUGUUCAAAAACAUUUUGCCUUCCAAAUAAAUUGUUCAACCUACAAAAAAACCUUAUAUGACUUAUAUAUGAAGGCACCCAGAUCUCACUGCCAACUAGUUCUGUAAGCUCUCUCCAUGUAAACCAUAAGCUGUUUUUCCCAUUUUUCCUGCCAAAAUAGACAGCAUUAGCAUUUUUUACCCCAUCUCCCAAUUUUUCAUCAAUCAGUUCACCAUACAUCCCAUUAUGGACACGUUAUGCUCACGGAGAAAGUGAGGACUGCAG